GGCGGGGUAGCUCAGAUGGUUAGAGCGUAGGAUUCAUAACCCUAAGGUCGGCAGUUCGAUCCUGCUCCCCGCUACAA
This 77-nucleotide transfer RNA is filed under the name Mucilaginibacter xinganensis. RNAcentral's name for it is "tRNA-Met". It matches the Rfam family "tRNA". From Rfam's summary of the family: Transfer RNA (tRNA) molecules are approximately 80 nucleotides in length. RNAcentral also lists the same sequence under 7 other names. The record is from RNAcentral. Lineage: Bacteria; Pseudomonadati; Bacteroidota; Sphingobacteriia; Sphingobacteriales; Sphingobacteriaceae.